UACGGAGGGAGCUAGCGUUAUUCGGAAUUACUGGGCGUAAAGCGUACGUAGGCGGCUUUGUAAGUUAGAGGUGAAAGCCUGGAGCUCAACUCCAGAACUGCCUUUAAGACUGCAUCGCUUGAAUCCGGGAGAGGUGAGUGGAAUUCCGAGUGUAGAGGUGAAAUUCGUAGAUAUUCGGAAGAACACCAGUGGCGAAGGCGGCUCACUGGACCGGCAUUGACGCUGAAGUACGAAAGCGUGGGGAGCAAACAGG
RNAcentral lists this ribosomal RNA (253 nucleotides) under uncultured bacterium. Its description in RNAcentral is "partial 16S ribosomal RNA". It matches the Rfam family "Bacterial small subunit ribosomal RNA", at positions 524 to 776 of the family's 1533-position model. The record is from RNAcentral.